GAUGAACGCUAGCGAUAGGCUUAACACAUGCAAGUCGAGGGGCAGCACAAGGUAGCUUGCUAUCUGGGUGGUGACCGGCGCACGGGUACGUAACGCGUAUGCAACUUGCCCUAUACAGGAGGAUAACCCGUCGAAAGACGGACUAAUACUGCGUAUGCUCACAACUUGGCAUCAAGUGGUGAGGAAAGAAAUUCGGUAUAGGAUAGGCAUGCGUCCCAUUAGCUUGUUGGUGAGGUAACGGCUCACCAAGGCAACGAUGGGUAGGGGAACUGAGAGGUUUAUCCCCCACACUGGUACUGAGACACGGACCAGACUCCUACGGGAGGCAGCAGUGAGGAAUAUUGGUCAAUGGGCGCGAGCCUGAACCAGCCAAGUCGCGUGAAGGAUGACUGUCUUAUGGAUUGUAAACUUCUUUUAUACGGGAAUAACAAGAGUCACGUGUGACUCCCUGCAUGUACCGUAUGAAUAAGCAUCGGCUAACUCCGUG
Molecule: ribosomal RNA, 487 nt
Filed under: uncultured bacterium
Lineage: Bacteria
Description: partial 16S ribosomal RNA
Rfam family: Bacterial small subunit ribosomal RNA
Source: RNAcentral